GACGAACGCUGGCGGCGUGCCUAAUACAUGCAAGUCGAGCGGACCGAACGAGGGCUUGCUCUUGUUUGGUCAGCGGCGGACGGGUGAGUAACACGUGGGCAACCUGCCCGCAAGACCGGGAUAACUCCGGGAAACCGGAGCUAAUACCGGAUAACACCGAAGACCGCAUGGUCUUCGGUUGAAAGGCGGCCUUUGGGCCGGCACUUGCGGGUGGGCCCGCGGCGCAUUAGCUAGUUGGUGAGGUAACGGCUCACCAAGGCGACGAUGCGUAGCCGGCCUGAGAGGGUGACCGGCCACACUGGGACUGAGACACGGCCCAGACUCCUACGGGAGGCAGCAGUAGGGAAUCUUCCGCAAUGGGCGAAAGCCUGACGGAGCGACGCCGCGUGAGCGAAGAAGGCCUUCGGGUCGUAAAGCUCUGUUGUGAGGGACGAAGGAGCGCCGUUCGAAGAGGGCGGCGCGGUGACGGUACCUCACGAGAAAGCCCCGGCUAACUACGUGCCAGCCGCCGCGGUAA
RNAcentral lists this ribosomal RNA (517 nucleotides) under uncultured bacterium. RNAcentral describes it as "partial 16S ribosomal RNA". It matches the Rfam family "Bacterial small subunit ribosomal RNA", at positions 28 to 523 of the family's 1533-position model. The record is from RNAcentral.